This 73-nucleotide transfer RNA is filed under the name Actinia tenebrosa (Australian red waratah sea anemone). RNAcentral describes it as "tRNA-Tyr". It matches the Rfam family "tRNA". From Rfam's summary of the family: Transfer RNA (tRNA) molecules are approximately 80 nucleotides in length. Lineage: Eukaryota; Metazoa; Cnidaria; Anthozoa; Actiniaria; Actiniidae. The record is from RNAcentral.
CCUUCGAUAGCUCAGUUGGCAGAGCGGGGGACUGUAGAUCCCUAGGUCACCGGUUGAAAUCCGGCUCGAAGGA